RNAcentral lists this ribosomal RNA (284 nucleotides) under uncultured Desulfocapsa sp. RNAcentral's name for it is "partial 16S ribosomal RNA". It matches the Rfam family "Bacterial small subunit ribosomal RNA", at positions 1097 to 1382 of the family's 1533-position model. Lineage: Bacteria; Pseudomonadati; Thermodesulfobacteriota; Desulfobulbia; Desulfobulbales; Desulfocapsaceae. The record is from RNAcentral.
CGCAACCCUUGUCUUUAGUUGCCAUCAUUCAGUUGGGCACUCUAAAGAGACUGCCGGUGUCAAACCGGAGGAAGGUGGGGAUGACGUCAAGUCCUCAUGGCCUUUAUGACCAGGGCUACACACGUACUACAAUGGCCGGUACAAAGGGCAGCCACUUAGCGAUAAGGAGCCAAUCCCGUAAAGCCGGUCUCAGUCCGGAUUGGAGUCUGCAACUCGACUCCAUGAAGUUGGAAUCGCUAGUAAUCGCAGAUCAGCACGCUGCGGUGAAUACGUUCCCGGGCCUU